Molecule: ribosomal RNA, 433 nt
Filed under: uncultured bacterium
Lineage: Bacteria
Description: partial 16S ribosomal RNA
Rfam family: Bacterial small subunit ribosomal RNA
Source: RNAcentral
AACGAACGCUGGCGGCAUGCCUAACACAUGCAAGUCGAACGAGACCUUCGGGUCUAGUGGCGCACGGGUGCGUAACGCGUGGGAACCUGCCCUUAUGUUCGGAAUAACUCCCCGAAAGGGGUGCUAAUACCGGAUAAUGUCUUCGGACCAAAGAUUUAUCGCCUUUGGAUGGGCCCGCGUUGGAUUAGCUAGUUGUUAGGGUAAAAGCCUACCAAGGCGACGAUGCAUAGCUGGUCUGAGAGGAUGAUCAGCCACACUGGGACUGAGACACGGCCCAGACUCCUACGGGAGGCAGGAGUGGGGAAUAUUGGAAAAUGGGCGAAAGCAUGAUCCAGCAAUGCCGGGUGAGUGAUGAAGGCCUUAGGGUUGUAAAGCUCUUUUAACCGGGAUGAUAAUGACAGUACCGGGAGAAUAAGCUCCGGCUAACUACGUG